AUUGAACGCUGGCGGAAUGCUUUACACAUGCAAGUCGAACGGCAGCACGGACUUCGGUCUGGUGGCGAGUGGCGAACGGGUGAGUAAUACAUCGGAACGUGCCCAGUCGUGGGGGAUAACGUAGCGAAAGCUACGCUAAUACCGCAUACGAUCUAAGGAUGAAAGCGGGGGAUCGCAAGACCUCGCGCGAUUGGAGCGGCCGAUGGCAGAUUAGGUAGUUGGUAGGGUAAAGGCCUACCAAGCCGACGAUCUGUAGCUGGUCUGAGAGGAUGGUCAGCCCAAGUGGGACUGGAACACGGCCCAGACCCGUACGGGAGGCAGCGGUGGGGAAUUUGGGACAUUGGGCGCAAGCCUGGACCAUCCAUUCCGCGUGCAGGAUGAAGGCUUUCGUGUUGUAAACUGCUUUUGUACAGAACGAAAAGGCUCUGGUUAAUCCCCGGGGCUCAUGACGGUACUGUAAGAAUAAGAACCGGCUAACUACGUGCAAGAGGCCGCCGUAA
This 500-nucleotide ribosomal RNA is filed under the name uncultured bacterium. RNAcentral describes it as "partial 16S ribosomal RNA". It matches the Rfam family "Bacterial small subunit ribosomal RNA", at positions 30 to 523 of the family's 1533-position model. The record is from RNAcentral.